This 74-nucleotide transfer RNA is filed under the name Bacteroidetes bacterium GWB2_41_8. RNAcentral's name for it is "tRNA-Met". It matches the Rfam family "tRNA". Rfam says of the family: Transfer RNA (tRNA) molecules are approximately 80 nucleotides in length. Their secondary structure includes four short double-helical elements and three loops (D, anti-codon, and T loops). Lineage: Bacteria; Pseudomonadati; Bacteroidota. RNAcentral also lists the same sequence under 7 other names. The record is from RNAcentral.
GGGCCUAUAGCUCAGUCGGUUAGAGCACCUGACUCAUAAUCAGGGAGUCACUGGUUCAAGCCCAGUUGGGCCCA